CCUACGGGUGGCAGCAGUGAGGAAUAUUGGUCAAUGGCCGUAAGGCUGAACCAGCCAAGUCGCGUGAAGGAAGAAGGAUCUAUGGUUUGUAAACUUCUUUUAUAGGGGAAUAAAGGUAUCCACGUGUGGAUAUUUGCAUGUACCCUAUGAAUAAGCAUCGGCUAACUCCGUGCCAGCAGCCGCGGUAAUACGGAGGGUGCGAGCGUUAUCCGGAUUUAUUGGGUUUAAAGGGUUCGUAGGUUGUUUUUUAAGGCCGCGGGUAAAGUUUGUGGGUCAACCAUAAAAUUGCCGUUGAAACUGGAAGACUUGAGAGUGUUAGAAGUAGGCGGAAUGCGUGGUGUAGCGGUGAAAUGCAUAGAUAUCGCGCAGAACUCCGAUUGCGAAGGCAGCUUACU
This 395-nucleotide ribosomal RNA is filed under the name uncultured bacterium. RNAcentral describes it as "partial 16S ribosomal RNA". It matches the Rfam family "Bacterial small subunit ribosomal RNA", at positions 338 to 730 of the family's 1533-position model. The record is from RNAcentral.